UUCCCUUCGGGGACAUUGGUGACAGGUGGUGCAUGGUUGUCGUCAGCUCGUGUCGUGAGAUGUUGGGUUAAGUCCCGCAACGAGCGCAACCCUUGUCUUUAGUUGCCAUCAUUAAGUUGGGCACUCUAGAGAGACUGCCAGGGAUAACCUGGAGGAAGGUGGGGAUGACGUCAAAUCAUCAUGCCCCUUAUGCUUAGGGCUACACACGUGCUACAAUGGGUAGUACAGAGGGUUGCCAAGCCGUAAGGUGGAGCUAAUCCCUUAAAGCUACUCUCAGUUCGGAUUGUAGGCUGAAACUCGCCUACAUGAAGCUGGAGUUACUAGUAAUCGCAGAUCAGAAUGCUGCGGUGAAUGCGUUCCCGGGUCUUGUACACACCGCCCGUCACACCACGGGAGUUGGAGACGCCCGAAGCCGAUUAUCUAACCU
RNAcentral lists this ribosomal RNA (427 nucleotides) under Clostridioides difficile. RNAcentral describes it as "bacterial SSU rRNA". It matches the Rfam family "Bacterial small subunit ribosomal RNA", at positions 1014 to 1441 of the family's 1533-position model. Lineage: Bacteria; Bacillati; Bacillota; Clostridia; Peptostreptococcales; Peptostreptococcaceae. The record is from RNAcentral.